ACGAGGAGACAAACCGGUGUGUGUUACGGUUAUGAGUAAGUUUAAAGGCAAACUUUGUUAUCUCAGGUAAAAAAAUCACUUUUUUCAUGCCAAGCAAAGAGAAAGCCUUUCCCUGACAUGAGAUGUCCGACAAGAUCACAGCACAGUGAACACGUUUGGAUGUUGUCAGUGAGCAAACUCACGCCAGCUGGUCCACCUCCCUCCAAGAAGGCAAUGAUCUGCGGUAGGACUCCCCUGAUCACCACGGCUGUGAAGCUCUCCUUCUCUGACUCCUCGGUGAUCAGGGCUUGCAGGCAGAGCUCGUUGUCCCCUUUGACAUGAGAAGUGUCCCCUGCCUGCCGGAGGAGGACGAGACGGUUGACACAAACACAACCAGCUCGUGAACAUCUGGGGAGCCGACAGGUUCUAAAAAAGAAAGAGGGAAAAACAAUUCAAAUCAAUCCAUGGUUAGUUUUCUUUGUCCAUGAUCACUUUCAAAGAUAAAAGAGUCUACGGUCCUCAUCGGUAUUCAUGGCAGUCUGUGUUUAAUGAACCUUGAACCCUUAACGUAGCCUGGUGGAGUUUCUGAUGACAAAAACCACUCCAACUCCAAAGUAGGAUAUAUCACUGCUGAGACUACGGCAUUCUGCAUCCCCUCGACUUUACUGCAGAAGGGGAAAAAGAUAAACAACAGACAUAAAAGACAGAAGUUGGGGGGAAAAAAUACGGUUAUAAAAUCACAUGCAAACGCACUGAAAGAAUAAGAAACAGUGUCACGUUGCCUCCGUCACGGACACCUGCGCAAUCAUCGUAAGUCAUACGAGAGCUUACCCACAAGCCGCCCGUGAUCGGCGUGUCGUAGUGAGGCGUGAAGUUGAUGUCGGAGCCCGGUCCUCCUGUUGCAGCAGGUGGAGGAGGCUGCCGUCCUGAAGCACCUCUACGAUGGAAAACACCAUUCAAUCGGUGUCCUGUACACGUAUGUACGGACACCGACUUAUAACAGGAGCCGGCUGAGACAGGUUGUCGCGGCAACCUUCUGGCUUCUCCUGGUGCCUCGGUCAGAUGUUAAACGGGCCUCAACGAGAUCAGCAAAAGUAAUUUUCCCAAUUUAGUUUCAACCUUUUUUCUGCCAUGAAUUAUGUCAGCGUAUCAGCAAAGUUCCCCGAAUGUCGCCAUGGAGGCCUUUCACCGCUCAUCGCCCGCUGUUUUGAUACCACAGCGCCGACGUCGCGCUGCUCGU
Pungitius pungitius (ninespine stickleback) is the source of this 1219-nucleotide long non-coding RNA. RefSeq lists it as uncharacterized. The record is from RefSeq and is a predicted model, not a curated record. The transcript has 3 exons. Lineage: Eukaryota; Metazoa; Chordata; Actinopteri; Perciformes; Gasterosteidae.